CGGUGUGUUGGAAUUGGCAGAUGGGACGGACUCAAAAUCCGUUGCUGGCAACAGCGUGUGGUUUCGACCCCCACCACCGGCA
Molecule: transfer RNA, 82 nt
Filed under: Atopobiaceae bacterium
Lineage: Bacteria; Bacillati; Actinomycetota; Coriobacteriia; Coriobacteriales; Atopobiaceae
Description: tRNA-Leu
Source: RNAcentral